UACGUAGGGUGCAAGCGUUGUCCGGAAUUAUUGGGCGUAAAGAGCUCGUAGGCGGUCUGUCGCGUCUGCUGUGAAAACUCGGGGCUUAACCCCGGGCCUGCAGUGGGUACGGGCAGACUAGAGUGCGGUAGGGGAGAAUGGAAUUCCUGGUGUAGCGGUGAAAUGCGCAGAUAUCAGGAGGAACACCGGUGGCGAAGGCGGGUCUCUGGGCCGAUACUGACGCUGAGGAGCGAAAGCGUGGGGAGCGAACAGG
This 253-nucleotide ribosomal RNA is filed under the name uncultured bacterium. Its description in RNAcentral is "partial 16S ribosomal RNA". It matches the Rfam family "Bacterial small subunit ribosomal RNA", at positions 524 to 776 of the family's 1533-position model. The record is from RNAcentral.